RNAcentral lists this ribosomal RNA (253 nucleotides) under uncultured bacterium. RNAcentral describes it as "partial 16S ribosomal RNA". It matches the Rfam family "Bacterial small subunit ribosomal RNA", at positions 524 to 776 of the family's 1533-position model. The record is from RNAcentral.
UACGGGGGGGGCAAGCGUUGUUCGGAAUUACUGGGCGUAAAGGGCUCGUAGGCGGCCAACUAAGUCGGACGUGAAAUCCCCAGGCUCAACCUGGGAACUGCGUCCGAUACUGGAUGGCUUGAAUCCGGGAGAGGGAUGCAGAAUUCCAGGUGUAGCGGUGAAAUGCGUAGAUAUCUGGAAGAAUACCGGUGGCGAAGGCGGCAUCCUGGACCGGCAUUGACGCUGAGGAGCGAAAGCCAGGGGAGCAAACGGG